CUCACAUUGAAUCAACCCACCGUCGCUCUACCAUUUUCGACAGCCCUCACCGCCAAUAGCCCUCACCACCGUCGCCGUUAGCCCCUCCUUUCCUCACCAUCGCUGCUGUGCCGAUCGGAGAACACCACUGUAUGACUAUUCUGGGUAUGGACAGUCUUCUAGGAAGGUGUGUGGCAAUCAAAAACAUUGAAACUGGGUAUGGACAGUCUUCUGGGUAUGGACAGUCUUCUAGAAUGGUGUAUGUGUUGACUGUGUGUAGAACAUUGACAAAAUCCCAUAUGUUAAUUGUCCUGUGCUGAUUAUUCAUGUGGGCGUCCUCCACCAGAAGAGGUGGCAUGACUGUUUUGGGAAAAGUUG
Camellia sinensis is the source of this 357-nucleotide non-coding RNA. NCBI's taxonomy places the organism in Eukaryota, Viridiplantae, Streptophyta, Magnoliopsida, Ericales, Theaceae. The record is from RefSeq and is a predicted model, not a curated record.